This is a non-coding RNA of Mycena leptocephala, 91 nucleotides long. Lineage: Eukaryota; Fungi; Basidiomycota; Agaricomycetes; Agaricales; Mycenaceae. The record is from the annotation of a GenBank genome assembly.
UCGGGCGUGGUGUACGGUACACUCUGGCUUUCUAUUAUUCAUUAGUUGGUGGAUGUAGCCAGCAUCCGGGGUUAGACUCUCCGCGUCCGAA